AUGGCACAUACCUAUUGAAGUUAAAGACUAAUUCUCAAACAGGUGUGGUUCUGGUCAGGGUCCUGUUAUUGAAGUUAUUGCUAGACGUUAGUCUUCAUAUGGUCUGGAGACCUUUAUAUCAAGAAUUUACCUCAGUUGCCAAUUAGGCUCUUCACUAGGUCUAUGUCGUGUCCUCUUCUUGCCAUUAGGCUCUUAAAUCUUAGAAUGCACCAAUCAUGGUUAGUGCAUCUUUAUUUUGGAUGAUUUCUCUACCUUUUCUUCUUGAUUUAUAUAUUAUGUACCUGUAAUUUAUUUUUCGUAAGUAUUUAUGAUUGUCCAAGAGAUAGAGAAGGCAACUAAAAAGAGGAAGAAGCAAUUCCUCUUCUCACUAACACAAGGCUGCUUUACCGCGGGAAGACAGGCUGUGAAAAUGGAAGGAGUUCCUUGACAUAGAAUGGAGCAGCACUCCACACUCGUGCCUAGAAUUACUGAUAUUUGUAUAUAUGUAACUAGGCUGCCAACUUUGAAUUUUAUCCUAUGUUGUAUGACGUAUAUUGCUACCGGUGACUUCAUGAUCACCCUGAUGUACAAAAAAUGUACCAGUUCUA
Lolium rigidum is the source of this 587-nucleotide long non-coding RNA. RefSeq lists it as uncharacterized. The record is from RefSeq and is a predicted model, not a curated record. Lineage: Eukaryota; Viridiplantae; Streptophyta; Magnoliopsida; Poales; Poaceae. The transcript is spliced from 3 exons.